RNAcentral lists this long non-coding RNA (410 nucleotides) under Ovis aries (sheep). Its description in RNAcentral is "lncRNA (ENSOARG00000026537.1)". Lineage: Eukaryota; Metazoa; Chordata; Mammalia; Artiodactyla; Bovidae. The record is from RNAcentral.
AUGCCAGAGAAUUGCUUGAGUUUCCCGAAUGAAAGAUGGCCCUAUGUGAGUUGCUUGCUGUUGAGCAGUGAGACUAUAGAGAUCCUUCUCUUCAGGAAAAGCUAUACCAAAUCCUUCUUGAGCAGCAGGAAUCAGAAGCAUUGACUCUUUGGAGCCAGGAAUGUAAAGGAUUGAGCAACUAUCACUGAUCAGAUCUUGGUGAAUUGAUGCAUGUAUAAAAGCAGGUAGGUGAAUUGAUGCAUGUAGAAAUCACAAUAGUUGGAAACCAAGCAAAUAGGUAGUAAUCCAGGGUGAAAGGGCAGUAUUGAGUGGAGAAUGAGAAAAAUCAAUGGCAGAAAGACUAGGCAGAAGCAUCAUAUAUAACUCAUGAAUGGAAAGAAAACAAAAUUGUCCAAUAAAAAAGGAAGAAC